RNAcentral lists this long non-coding RNA (4736 nucleotides) under Homo sapiens (human). Its description in RNAcentral is "HSALNT0063758". The record is from RNAcentral. Lineage: Eukaryota; Metazoa; Chordata; Mammalia; Primates; Hominidae.
AUACAAACAAUUAGCCAGGCGUGGUGGCAGGCGCCUGUAGUCCCAGCUACUCGGGAGGCUGAGGCAGGAAAAUGGCGUGAACCUGGGAGGCGGAGCUUGCAGAGAGCCCAGAUCAUGCCACUGCACUCCAGCCUGGGCGACAGAGUGAGACUCCGUCUCAAAAAAAAAAAAAAAAAAAAAAAGAAAGAAAUUCACUAAGACUACACAGCAAUGUACAGUAAGUACUAAAAGAAUCGUAUAAGUAAGCAUUAGAAGGUUCACAAAAACGGAGAGUGCACAGGAAAUGAAUUGUAAACAAAGGCUUCAUGAAAGAAGGACUUGAGUUGGGUUUUAAAAGAGUUGAAGAAUAAAUCCUAUAUGCAAUGAAGAAUUGUUGAAUAUGUCCAAGUAAGACAAUGAAAUGAUUAAGUCAGUGUUUUAGAAAGAUCUAUGUAGUAGUCAGAAUUGUUCACCCUGGAUAACUUGUCUGAAAAAUUUCCCUCUUCCUCAUUUAUCCCCCACCCCUGCCAACGGUUCCUAUUUUUCUAUAAAACUUCUAUUUGUCCUUAAAAUUAAGUUUGGGUUUUAGAAAGCCUUUCUGAUCUCUCCAUGCAAUAUCAUACAAGCAUCUUCCCUUCUCCCCAUUGGGAAAGUUCUAGUACCUUGUGUUUAUUUCUGCAUAGCAGUUAUAUUAAAAUGAAUUGUUUAUCUUCCCCUCUGACCCAUAAGCUACUUGAGGUGAAGAGCUAGGCAUGUUUCCUCUCUGUGACUGCAGCAAAAAGCAUGUAUAUAAAAAAUAGUAGCUAUUCAAUGAGGAUUUGUUGCUUUAAACUGAGUAGUGGUAAUAACCUGGAUUUGUUAAAGAGGGAAAGACUAAAGCCUAAAAGAUCAGUUAAAAAACCACUGCAACAACUCGGACAUUAAGUAAAGAGUGUUUAAAGGGAGCAGCCUCACUGGGAAUAGUAAGGAACUGGUGAAAUUAUUGAAAUGUGUGACUAACUAGAUAUGGGUUAAGAAGAAAUAGGUUGUUUGGGGGUUCCAGGCUCAACUUACUAGAAAACAAGAGGGCUGUGAAUUCUUGCUGUUUUGUAGUAGUCCUUACCUGGGCACCAUGGACUUCUAGAGAGGUCUAGGAUAUACUUCCAAGGGUCCUUGAAGCCCUGAAAUUAUUUGCAAGUUUAUGCAUGUAAGGUUAUGCAUGUAUUUUCCUUGGGAGAGGCUUUAUAGUUCUCACUGAAUUUUUGGAAAUCUCGGCCUUUAAACUUGUUAAGCACUACAGUUCUAUUCAAAAGUAUAGUAUUAUCUUAAUAAUAGCCAUAGUCUUUGUGAGAGAUAUCAUUCUUUAAAAAUAUUGACUGAUGUGGCACCUCACAGUACCUUUUGUCAAUUGUUGAAACCAGAUUACUGAAAAUAAUAUUGAAGACCCAGAGCCCUGCCACUUUCUUACUAUAUAACUUUAAGCAAAUUACUUUUCUAAGAUUUUUCUUAUACUGUUAAAUGCAGUAAUGAUAACACAUGCCUCUUAGUGUUGUGAGGAUUCCAUGAGAUAAUGUGUAUACAAUUUUUAGUGCUCAAUAUUAGCUAAAUAUUAUUUGUAUUAUUACUCAUUUAAUUCUAACAGUGGCCAUAUAUUAUAAUGCCAACAUUGUAAUAGGUGGCCCCCCAUCAUAUCGCAUUAAAUUCCUCAAUCAAUUUGAUGAAGGUCUAGUUUUACAUUAAGGUUACAGACAAGAUGGAGACAGGUAAAUACCUUGCCUAUGGUCACACAGCUAAUUAAUGGCUGAGCCAAUACUAGAAGAGGUCAGCCAGACGUCUGAAAACAGGUGACUGUAGGGCAAGCAAGAGAGGGAGCACAGAACAGAACAAACAGUCAGUGAUAGGGUGAGCAGUAGGAUGAGAGAUCUGGAGUAGCCGUACCAAGGAGACUUUUCAAAAGAUGUAACACUUACCACAGGACAUAAAUGAUCAUCUUUUUGCUGGCUAGAAAUUAAUUCUAGGCUUGGCCAGCCUUGGAUCUAUAAGUGGGUGAAUGUAAAUUGUGUGUGGGUGGCAGGAAGGCAAGGAAAAUGAGACUGGAUAUGAGAAUAGAUACGUUGUGACCAGCUGCAGUAGUGAUUACAAAAUGUUCGUUUACUUUGACCUAUUGGACAUGGAUAAAAAUGGGAAUACUAGGCAUACAUUAAACAUUAUCCAGAUGUUUCAUAUGUGAAAGUAUUUUAAAUUCAGCCUGUGACGUUAAUAGAGUAUUUUAAUUAUUUUACACACACACACACACACACACACACACACACACACACAGAGGUAAUUGAUUGGAAAGUGACCAGAAUUUACUGUGUACUCACAUAACCAUCUAGGGCCACCAUUGUCAAAGAUUGUGUUGUAUUUUUCUCCUCAUGAGCAACCCUAAGAUUUGGUUUGGUUGGUUCCAGCUCUGAACAGUACAAGUGAUAUGGUUUGGAUUUAUGUCCCCACCCAAAUCUCAUGUCAAAUUGCAAUCCCCAGUGUUGGAGAUGGGGCCUGGUGGAAAGUGAUGGGAUCAUGGGGGCAAAUUUCCCCCUUCAGUGCUGUGCUCAUCGUAGAGUUCUCACGAGAUUUGGUUGUUCAAAAGUGUGUAGCCCCUGCCCCCUGUUUCUCUUCCUCCUAUUCCAGCCAUGUAAGAUGUGCCCAUUCCUCUUUGCCUUCAGCCAUGAUUGUAAGUUUCCUGAUACCUCCCUGGUAACCAACAAAUGCCAGCAUCAUGCUCCCUGUACAGCCUUUGGAACUGUGAACCAAUUAAACUUCUUUUCUUUAUAAAUUACCCAGUCUCAGGUAUUUCUUUUUUCUUUUCUUUUCUUUUCUUUUCUUUUUUUUUUUUUGAGACUCGUAUUUCUUUAUAGCAGUGUGAGAAUAGCCUAAUACACCAAGAAUGAUUCAAGCCCACUGUACCAAAGCUGGGAUUUCAGAUGAUAACACAAACCCAGAGGGAAAUUGAUCCAAGACUUUUUUUCAUUAAACAAGAACUCUGGGGAUAAGGGGAAAGGAAGGGCCAAUACCAUUCCCCAACAGGGCCUGGAGGCCAGAAGUAGGUCAUUCUUAAAACAAAAAUUGGGAUUGUUUUUCAUUUUUCUGCAGCUUUUCCCUUUGUGAGAUCUGUUUCAGCACAAUGGUUACAUUUGGGAGUGAAUUACUCUCUUUUAAACAAAUAGAUAUUAUUUGCAUAUGCUAAAAAUUCCAUUCAUGAUUUAGUUGCUAAUUGUUUAUCUAGCAUUUUGCUGCUCAUUCUUCUACUUUUGCCUGCUGUUCUUUUGACAAUUUUAGAGGAGGAUUAAGGAAAAGGGAAAAUGAACCACAACUGGGAGAAAUAUGAAGACUCAUAAACUUUGGAAGAGGGACAUUAUAUAUAUUGACCAAUAUGGUGGUGUUGAAUUACAUUUUGAUUAGAAAGUAGUGGCAGUUAGCACAUUAGCUUUGACUUCAAAUAGACCUGAGUUUAAAUCAUACCUCUGGAACCUACCUUAACCUUAAGCCUGAAAAUUAACCUCCUCAGGCUUCUAUUUUCUUAUACGUUAAUGGAAAUAAUGCCGACUUCCUUAGAUUUUUCUAAAGAUUAAAAACUAUAAUUUAUCUUAAGUACCUAACACAUGGCAGUGCUUCUUCACACCUGGCUAUUCAUGGCUCCAAUAAUUAUGGAUAAUUAGGAAUUGGCUGUAGAUUAUACAUUCAUUAGAUGGCUGAAUGUGUUUUUAUUGCUGUAGGUUUCAUUGGACUAUAUUAUGAGCAGGACUGUUACUUAAAUGACUCUCCAGUGAUAAUUAGGCAUUAUUAGAAGUUGUAAUAAGUCUUGCAGUAUUUUUGUCAUUAUCCUAAAAUUAUUGGACUAUUAUAGCCCAUUUAUAGGUAGAUUAGAACAUAUAUUCUCCACCCUUUAAAAGCCCAUACUCCAUUCAGUUUAAAGACUGUGGUAAUAAAAACAGGAAAAAAGCCAACCUCCCAAACCAUCAUGCUGCAUAUUAUCUUUCUUAGUAGGAAGUUACAAGGAAGAGGGUGAAAGCAGUUGGCAUAGAAUGAGCUAUUUUCUUUAUCAGCUGAUUUUAAUGUGCAUGUUGUGUCCAUUCCCAGGUAGAUAGGGUUCUGAAUGAGUUACCAUCUUCCAAAAAAACAUAUUGUUUUACCAAGAAAUAAUUUAGUCCCAGUAGAGUUCUGCCACAGCAUGUUCAUUGCUUUGGAGAAUUAUAAUUAAGAAGCUCAUUCAGUAUUUCCAAUUAAAACAAUGAUCUAAUUAGACUGAUUGCCCCACCUAAUUUCUAGCUCCAGAUGUGGGCCUACCUGCUGAAUGAACAAGGAUCCUUGAGCACUAGCGUAUGCAUUCUAACUGGGGAGCACAGGGGUCAAUGCCCAGAGGGCAUAGACAAAGCCCCUCAUUGGGAAUUGCCUGGAAUUUUGCUGAUGUAGGAAAUAUAUAUAGCUCCCUGUUUAAGAUUAUUACAUGUGUCUUUUCUUUCAUAAACAAAGUUUCUGAUCUGUAUUUAAAAUGCAAAUUAAUGCUUUAAGCAUCUAUGAAGUCAAUAAGUACUAGCUUCCCCCCACCCCCACUUUUAUUUAAAUGGGAAAGUGAGGUUCAGUGAUUGCUUUUGACUUGGAAUCGUGGAAGAUCAGUGGCUGAGAAAAUCUUUUGGGAUUAUCUGGUUAAGUUCCCUUUUCACAGGUGAGGCAAAUUAAGGCACAGACAGGUGAGCCAGACACUAGUCUCCUAACUUACGGCUCAGUGUUGGAAGCAG